UACGUAGGGUGCAAGCGUUGUCCGGAAUUAUUGGGCGUAAAGAGCUCGUAGGCGGUCUGUCGCGUCGGAUGUGAAAAUCCAGGGCUCAACCCUGGACCUGCAUUCGAUACGGGCAGACUAGAGUUCGGUAGGGGAGACUGGAAUUCCUGGUGUAGCGGUGAAAUGCGCAGAUAUCAGGAGGAACACCGGUGGCGAAAGCGGCGUGCUGGACCUUUUCUGACGCUGAGGCGCGAAAGCUAGGGGAGCAAACGGG
Molecule: ribosomal RNA, 253 nt
Filed under: uncultured bacterium
Lineage: Bacteria
Description: partial 16S ribosomal RNA
Rfam family: Bacterial small subunit ribosomal RNA
Source: RNAcentral